This 1662-nucleotide ribosomal RNA is filed under the name Acinetobacter baumannii 23671. RNAcentral's name for it is "bacterial LSU rRNA". It matches the Rfam family "Bacterial large subunit ribosomal RNA", at positions 1284 to 2925 of the family's 2925-position model. Lineage: Bacteria; Pseudomonadati; Pseudomonadota; Gammaproteobacteria; Moraxellales; Moraxellaceae. The record is from RNAcentral.
AGAAGUGCGAAUGCUGACGUGAGUAACGACAAAACGGGUGAAAAACCCGUUCGCCGAAAGACCAAGGGUUCCAGUCCAACGUUAAUCGGGGCUGGGUGAGUCGACCCCUAAGGCGAGGCCGAAAGGCGUAGUCGAUGGGAAAAUGGUUAAUAUUCCAUUACUUCUGUGUAAUGCGAUGAGAGGACGGAGAAGGCUAAAUCAGCCUGGCGUUGGUUGUCCAGGUGAAAGGAUGUAGGCAUGUAUCUUAGGCAAAUCCGGGGUACUCUAUGCUGAGAUCUGAUAGCAAGCUGUACUUGUACAGCGAAGUGGUUGAUGCCAUGCUUCCAGGAAAAGUCUCUAAGCUUCAGUUACACAGGAAUCGUACCCGAAACCGACACAGGUGGUCAGGUCGAGUAGACCAAGGCGCUUGAGAGAACUCUGCUGAAGGAACUAGGCAAAAUGGUACCGUAACUUCGGGAGAAGGUACGCUGUUGUUGGUGAUGGAACUCGCUUCCUGAGCUGACGACAGCCGCAGAAACCAGGCCGCUGCAACUGUUUAUUAAAAACAUAGCACUCUGCAAACACGAAAGUGGACGUAUAGGGUGUGAUGCCUGCCCGGUGCUGGAAGGUUAAUUGAUGGGGUUAGCGUAAGCGAAGCUCUUGAUCGAAGCCCCAGUAAACGGCGGCCGUAACUAUAACGGUCCUAAGGUAGCGAAAUUCCUUGUCGGGUAAGUUCCGACCUGCACGAAUGGCAUAAUGAUGGCGGCGCUGUCUCCAGCAGAGGCUCAGUGAAAUCGAAAUCGCUGUGAAGAUGCAGUGUACCCGCGGCUAGACGGAAAGACCCCGUGAACCUUUACUGCAGCUUGACACUGAACUUUGACCUUACUUGUGUAGGAUAGGUGGGAGGCUUUGAAGCUGGAACGCUAGUUCCAGUGGAGCCGUCCUUGAAAUACCACCCUGGUAAUGUUGAGGUUCUAACUCUGUCCCGUGAUCCGGGACGAGGACCGUGUCUGGUGGGUAGUUUGACUGGGGCGGUCUCCUCCUAAAGAGUAACGGAGGAGUACGAAGGUGCGCUCAGCGUGGUCGGAAAUCACGCGUAGAGUAUAAAGGCAAAAGCGCGCUUAACUGCGAGACCCACAAGUCGAGCAGGUACGAAAGUAGGUCUUAGUGAUCCGGUGGUUCUGUAUGGAAGGGCCAUCGCUCAACGGAUAAAAGGUACUCUGGGGAUAACAGGCUGAUACCGCCCAAGAGUUCAUAUCGACGGCGGUGUUUGGCACCUCGAUGUCGGCUCAUCUCAUCCUGGGGCUGAAGCAGGUCCCAAGGGUAUGGCUGUUCGCCAUUUAAAGAGGUACGCGAGCUGGGUUUAGAACGUCGUGAGACAGUUCGGUCCCUAUCUACCGUGGGCGCUGGAAAUUUGAGAGGAUCUGCUCCUAGUACGAGAGGACCAGAGUGGACGAACCUCUGGUGUACCGGUUGUGACGCCAGUCGCAUCGCCGGGUAGCUAUGUUCGGAAGGGAUAACCGCUGAAAGCAUCUAAGCGGGAAGCCUACCUCAAGAUAAGAUUUCCCUAGGACUUUAUGUCCUCUAAAGAGCCGUUCGAGACUAGGACGUUGAUAGGUUGGAUGUGGAAGCAUAGUGAUAUGUGAAGCUGACCAAUACUAAUUGCUCGUGAGGCUUGACUAU